GAUGAACGCUGGCGGCGUGCCUAAUACAUGCAAGUCGAGCGAACAGAUAAGGAGCUUGCUCCUUUGACGUUAGCGGCGGACGGGUGAGUAACACGUGGAUAACCUACCUAUAAGACUGGAAUAACUCCGGGAAACCGGGGCUAAUGCCGGAUAACAUUUAGAACCGCAUGGUUCUAAAGUGAAAGAUGGUUUUGCUAUCACUUAUAGAUGGACCCGCGCCGUAUUAGCUAGUUGGUAAGGUAACGGCUUACCAAGGCAACGAUACGUAGCCGACCUGAGAGGGUGAUCGGCCACACUGGAACUGAGACACGGUCCAGACUCCUACGGGAGGCAGCAGUAGGGAAUUUUGCGCAAUGGGCGAAAGCCUGAUGGAGCAACGCCGCGUGAGUGAAGAAGGCCUUCGGGUCGUAAAACUCUGUUAUUAGGGAAGAACAAAUGUGCAAUUAACCGGGCACGUCUUGACGGUACCUAAUCAGAAAGCCACGGCUAACUACGUG
Molecule: ribosomal RNA, 497 nt
Filed under: uncultured bacterium
Lineage: Bacteria
Description: partial 16S ribosomal RNA
Rfam family: Bacterial small subunit ribosomal RNA
Source: RNAcentral